Musa acuminata AAA Group (dessert banana) is the source of this 468-nucleotide long non-coding RNA. RefSeq lists it as uncharacterized. Lineage: Eukaryota; Viridiplantae; Streptophyta; Magnoliopsida; Zingiberales; Musaceae. The record is from RefSeq and is a predicted model, not a curated record. The transcript is spliced from 2 exons.
UGUCGGAUGUGGAUCCAGUAACAGUCGAAGAGUACCCUCGUCGGCCUCUUCUUUGCAUCGAGCCGCCCGCCCCUUCUUCGCUUCCGCGAAAGGGUGGCGAGGGCGUCUUGGGCCGUCGAGCUUGAUUUGGACCUCGCCGUCCCCUAUCGUCGUCGCUCGGGGCGUAGCGGUCGUCCGAGGCUGCCACCCAACGCCUUUGUCGCCCCCGCCAAACGACGACAGUGAUCAGUUUCAGGCUAGUUUUGUUUUACUGCAACCUUGGAUAUCUCACCGGCAAGAACCAGUUCAUGGUCUUUGGGUUCCUCCGCAUCCGAUUCUUCUAGUUUGGGAUUGUAUUCUACCUGGUCUUCUUUUUGUUCUGUUGUUUAUCAAAAUAAAGGUGUAUGUUUUAUCCAAAAAUUAUUCCACAACCUGCAACUAUGAUCGAGUCUUUUUCUGGUAAAUCUCAUCUUCUGUUCUUCCUCCUCA